Molecule: ribosomal RNA, 288 nt
Filed under: Globicatella sulfidifaciens
Lineage: Bacteria; Bacillati; Bacillota; Bacilli; Lactobacillales; Aerococcaceae
Description: partial 23S ribosomal RNA
Rfam family: Bacterial large subunit ribosomal RNA
Source: RNAcentral
ACAGUUCGGUCCCUAUCCGUCGUGGGCGUAGGAAAUUUGAGAGGCGCUGUCCUUAGUACGAGAGGACCGGGAUGGACAUACCACUGGUGUACCAGUUGUCGUGCCAACGGCAUAGCUGGGUAGCUACGUAUGGACGGGAUAAAUGCUGAAAGCAUCUAAGCAUGAAGCCCCCCUCAAGAUGAGAUUUCCCCAUUAGAUGCCAGAGAGAUGAUCUGGUUGAUAGGUUCGGCGUGUAAGUGUGGUGACACACGUAGCGGACGAAUACUAAUCCAUCGAUGACUUAUUCAC